Molecule: ribosomal RNA, 253 nt
Filed under: uncultured bacterium
Lineage: Bacteria
Description: partial 16S ribosomal RNA
Rfam family: Bacterial small subunit ribosomal RNA
Source: RNAcentral
UACGGAGGGAGCUAGCGUUAUUCGGAAUUACUGGGCGUAAAGCGCACGUAGGCGGCUUUGUAAGUUAGAGGUGAAAGCCUGGAGCUCAACUCCAGAAUUGCCUUUAAGACUGCAUCGCUUGAAUCCAGGAGAGGUGAGUGGAAUUCCGAGUGUAGAGGUGAAAUUCGUAGAUAUUCGGAAGAACACCAGUGGCGAAGGCGGCUCACUGGCCCGAUACUGACGCUGAGGCACGAAAGCGUGGGGAGCAAACAGG